Long non-coding RNA from Gossypium arboreum, 290 nucleotides. RefSeq lists it as uncharacterized. The transcript is spliced from 2 exons. NCBI's taxonomy places the organism in Eukaryota, Viridiplantae, Streptophyta, Magnoliopsida, Malvales, Malvaceae. The record is from RefSeq and is a predicted model, not a curated record.
AGUGUGCCCAUGUACAAUUUCUGUACAUCCACGUCAACUGAACAUGCGAGAAGGAAAAACAAACACAGCAACAGAAAACACGAGAAACAUUUACGCAAACUCAAUACAAAGAAUCAGCAAAGGAAAUUAGAGAUGCAUGACGAUCCUUGUCUCCUCCAUUGAAAUCGGAGUUUGAGAUGGGGAUUUUCGAGUGGAAAACAGGCCUUGAGUCCUGGCUUUGAUGGAAAUAAAGAGCGCCUGUGCAUCAUUCACCAAUUAUAAUGGUGAACUGGUGGUUGAAUGGUCGAAAU